This 253-nucleotide ribosomal RNA is filed under the name uncultured bacterium. RNAcentral's name for it is "partial 16S ribosomal RNA". It matches the Rfam family "Bacterial small subunit ribosomal RNA", at positions 524 to 776 of the family's 1533-position model. The record is from RNAcentral.
UACGUAGGGUGCAAGCGUUGUUCGGAAUCAUUGGGCGUAAAGAGCGUGUAGGUGGCUUACCAAGUCGAUUGUGAAAGCCCUCGGCUCAACCGAGGAAGUGCAGUCGAAACUGGCAAGCUCGAGAACGGUAGAGGAAGGUGGAAUUCCUAGUGUAGAGGUGAAAUUCGUAGAUAUUCGGAAGAACACCAGUGGCGAAGGCGACACACUGGCCCGUUACUGACGCUGAGGCUCGAAAGCGUGGGGAGCAAACAGG